Molecule: ribosomal RNA, 784 nt
Filed under: uncultured bacterium
Lineage: Bacteria
Description: bacterial SSU rRNA
Rfam family: Bacterial small subunit ribosomal RNA
Source: RNAcentral
UUAUACAUGCAAGUCGAACGAGAAAGUCACUUCGGUGGCGAGUACAGUGGCGCACGGGUGAGUAACGCGUAGAUGAUCUACCCUUCAGUCUGGGACAACUCUUGGAAACGGGAGCUAAUACCGGAUAAAACCUUCGGGUUGAAAGAUUUAUCGCUGAGGGAUGAGUCUGCGUACCAUUAGCUUGUUGGUGGGGUAACGGCCUACCAAGGCGACGAUGGUUAGCGGGUCUGAGAGGACGAUCCGCCACACUGGAACUGAGACACGGUCCAGACUCCUACGGGAGGCAGCAGUAGGGAAUAUUGCGCAAUGGGGGCAACCCUGACGCAGCAAUGCCGCGUGAGUGAAGAAGGCCUUCGGGUCGUAAAGCUCUUUUAUGGGAGAAGAUGAUGACGGUAUCCCAUGAAUAAGCACCGGCUAACUACGUGCCAGCAGCCGCGGUAAUACGUAGGGUGCGAGCGUUGUUCGGAAUUACUGGGCGUAAAGGGCGUGCAGGCGGAUUGGCAAGCCGGAGGUGAAAGCCCGGGGCUCAACCCCGGAGGGUCUUUCGGAACUGCCAGUCUUGAGAGGGUCAGGGGCCAGCCCAAUUCCUGGUGUAGAGGUGAAAUUCGUAGAGAUCAGGAGGAACACCGGCGGCGAAAGCGGCUGGCUGGGGCCACUCUGACGCUGAGGCGCGAAAGCGUGGGGAGCAAACAGGAUUAGAUACCCUGGUAGUCCACGCCGUAAACGAUGGGCACUAAGCGUCCGACGGGUUCGACCCUGUUGGGUGCUGCAGUUAACGCGUUAA